RNAcentral lists this ribosomal RNA (253 nucleotides) under uncultured bacterium. RNAcentral's name for it is "partial 16S ribosomal RNA". It matches the Rfam family "Bacterial small subunit ribosomal RNA", at positions 524 to 776 of the family's 1533-position model. The record is from RNAcentral.
UACGGGGGGGGCAAGCGUUGUUCGGAAUUACUGGGCGUAAAGGGCUCGUAGGCGGCCAACUAAGUCAGACGUGAAAUCCCCAGGCUCAACCUGGGAACUGCGUCUGAUACUGGAUGGCUUGAAUCCGGGAGAGGGAUGCAGAAUUCCAGGUGUAGCGGUGAAAUGCGUAGAUAUUGGGAGGAACACCAGUGGCGAAGGCGGCUCACUGGACCGGUACUGACGCUGAGGCGCGAAAGCGUGGGGAGCAAACAGG